GAUGAACGCUGGCGGCGUGCUUAACACAUGCAAGUCGAACGGGAAUUACUUUAUUGAAACUUCGGUCGAUUUAAUUUAAUUCUAGUGGCGGACGGGUGAGUAACGCGUGGGUAACCUGCCUUAUACAGGGGGAUAACAGUCAGAAAUGGCUGCUAAUACCGCAUAAGCGCACAGAGCUGCAUGGCUCAGUGUGAAAAACUCCGGUGGUAUAAGAUGGACCCGCGUUGGAUUAGCUUGUUGGUGGGGUAACGGCCCACCAAGGCGACGAUCCAUAGCCGGCCUGAGAGGGUGAACGGCCACAUUGGGACUGAGACACGGCCCAGACUCCUACGGGAGGCAGCAGUGGGGAAUAUUGCACAAUGGGGGAAACCCUGAUGCAGCGACGCCGCGUGAAGGAAGAAGUAUCUCGGUAUGUAAACUUCUAUCAGCAGGAA
Molecule: ribosomal RNA, 434 nt
Filed under: uncultured bacterium
Lineage: Bacteria
Description: bacterial SSU rRNA
Rfam family: Bacterial small subunit ribosomal RNA
Source: RNAcentral